GGAGAAUCUUUGGCAGAAUGAAUCCCUUUCUUCCCGCUGAUAGCACGUGAUUCGGCCGCCAGUAAAGCAUCAUAGUAGUUUGACCUUUCCUCAAAGUCUCGGUGUCUAAUGACAGUAGCAAAGCCACGACCAACCAUCAGCUCGCCAAUAUUUGUUCCUGCCGGUUGGCUACCAGAAGAUGGGACAGUAGCAGUAUCAUCGCCAUCAGCCUUCGAAGGCGACAAUAAGAAAACAGACCCAAAAUUCAUAACUCGAG
RNAcentral lists this unclassified non-coding RNA (256 nucleotides) under Hevea brasiliensis (rubber tree). Lineage: Eukaryota; Viridiplantae; Streptophyta; Magnoliopsida; Malpighiales; Euphorbiaceae. The record is from RNAcentral.